Molecule: ribosomal RNA, 494 nt
Filed under: uncultured bacterium
Lineage: Bacteria
Description: partial 16S ribosomal RNA
Rfam family: Bacterial small subunit ribosomal RNA
Source: RNAcentral
GACGAACGCUGACGGCGUGCUUAACACAUGCAAGUCGAACGGUGAAGCGCCUUCCUUUUUGGUGGGUGUGGAUGAGUGGCGAACGGGUGAGUAACACGUGAGUAACCUGCCCCCUUCUUCUGGAUAACCGCAUGAAAGUGUGGCUAAUACGGGAUAUUCUGGGUCUGUCGCAUGAUGGGUCUGGGAAAGAUAUUGUUUCGGUGGGGGAUGGGCUCGCGGCCUAUCAGCUUGUUGGUGGGGUGAUGGCCUACCAAGGCGGUGACGGGUAGCCGGCCUGAGAGGGUGGACGGUCACACUGGCACUGAGACACGGCCCAGACUCCUACGGGAGGCAGCAGUGGGGAAUAUGGCACAAUGGGCGCAAGCCUGAUGCAGCGACGCCGCGUGAGGGAUGGAGGCCUUCGGGUUGUGAACCUCUUUCGCCAGUGAAGCAGGCCUGCCUCGUUUGUGGGUGGGUUGACGGUAGCUGGAUAAGAAGCGCCGGCUAACUACGUG